This 496-nucleotide ribosomal RNA is filed under the name uncultured bacterium. Its description in RNAcentral is "partial 16S ribosomal RNA". It matches the Rfam family "Bacterial small subunit ribosomal RNA", at positions 29 to 507 of the family's 1533-position model. The record is from RNAcentral.
AUGAACGCUGGCGGCGUGCCUAAUACAUGCAAGUCGAGCGAACAGACGAGGAGCUUGCUCCUCUGACGUUAGCGGCGGACGGGUGAGUAACACGUGGAUAACCUACCUAUAAGACUGGGAUAACUUCGGGAAACCGGAGCUAAUACCGGAUAAUAUAUUGAACCGCAUGGUUCAAUAGUGAAAGACGGUUUUGCUGUCACUUAUAGAUGGAUCCGCGCCGCAUUAGCUAGUUGGUAAGGUAACGGCUUACCAAGGCAACGAUGCGUAGCCGACCUGAGAGGGUGAUCGGCCACACUGGAACUGAGACACGGUCCAGACUCCUACGGGAGGCAGCAGUAGGGAAUCUUUCGCAAUGGGCGAAAGCCUGACGGAGCAACGCCGCGUGAGUGAUGAAGGUCUUCGGAUCGUAAAACUCUGUUAUUAGGGAAGAACAAAUGUGUAAGUAACUAUGCACGUCUUGACGGUACCUAAUCAGAAAGCCACGGCUAACUACGUG